RNAcentral lists this ribosomal RNA (372 nucleotides) under uncultured organism. RNAcentral's name for it is "bacterial SSU rRNA". It matches the Rfam family "Bacterial small subunit ribosomal RNA", at positions 526 to 896 of the family's 1533-position model. The record is from RNAcentral.
CGUAGGGUGCGAGCGUUAAUCGGGAUUACUGGGCGUAAAGUGUGCGCAGGUGGCCGCGCAUGUCGAGUGUGAAAUCCCCGGGCUUAACUUGGGAAUUGCGCUCGAAACUACGUGGCUAGAGUGUGGCAGAGGAAGGUGGAAUUCCACGUGUAGCGGUGAAAUGCGUAGAGAUGUGGAGGAACACCGAUGGCGAAGGCAGCCUUCUGGGCCAACACUGACGCUCAUGCACGAAAGCGUGGGGAGCAAACAGGAUUAGAUACCCUGGUAGUCCACGCCCUAAACGAUGAUGACUAGUUGUUGGAGGAGUUAAAUCCUUUAGUAACGCAGCUAACGCGUGAAGUCAUCCGCCUGGGGAGUACGGUCGCAAGAUUA